RNAcentral lists this ribosomal RNA (440 nucleotides) under uncultured bacterium. Its description in RNAcentral is "partial 16S ribosomal RNA". It matches the Rfam family "Bacterial small subunit ribosomal RNA", at positions 338 to 795 of the family's 1533-position model. The record is from RNAcentral.
CCUACGGGGAGCUGCAGUGGGGGAUAUUGCACAAUGGGGGAAACCCUGAUGCAGCGACGCCGCGUGGGUGAAGAAGCGCCUCGGCGCGUAAAGCCCUGUCAGCAGGGAAGAAAAUGACGGUACCUGAAGAAGAAGCCCCGGCUAACUACGUGCCAGCAGCCGCGGUAAUACGUAGGGGGCAAGCGUUAUCCGGAUUUACUGGGUGUAAAGGGGGCGCAGACGGCGAUGCAGGCCAGGAGUGAAAGCCCGGGGCCCAACCCCGGGACUGCUCUUGGAACUGCGUGGCUAGAGUGCAGGAGGGGCAGGCGGAAUUCCUGGUGUAGCGGUGAAAUGCGUAGAUAUCAGGAGGAACACCGGUGGCGAAGGCGGCCUGCUGGACUGCAACUGACGUUGAGGCUCGAAAGCGUGGGGAGCAAACAGGAUUAGAUACCCCAGUAGUC